CGAGAAGGCCGGGACGGCUGGUUGUGGAAUGCGGAUGUGCCGAGGGUUAAUCGGAAUGAGUGGGCGUGAGGCGUGAGCAGGCGGUAUGUUAAGCGGAAGGGGAAAGCGAUGGGCUGAAACGGGGAAUAGCAUUUCGAACGGGCGAACUAGAGUCGUGUAGAGGGGGGUAGAAUUCCAGGGGUAGCGGUGAAAUGCGUAGAGAUCUGGAGGAAUACCGGUGGCGAAGGCGGCCCCCUGGACAAAGACUGACGCUCAUGCACGAAAGCGUGGGGAGCAAACAGGAUUAGAUACCCGUGUAGUC
RNAcentral lists this ribosomal RNA (301 nucleotides) under uncultured Sulfophobococcus sp. Its description in RNAcentral is "bacterial SSU rRNA". It matches the Rfam family "Bacterial small subunit ribosomal RNA", at positions 495 to 795 of the family's 1533-position model. Lineage: Archaea; Thermoproteati; Thermoproteota; Thermoprotei; Desulfurococcales; Desulfurococcaceae. The record is from RNAcentral.